GGUUAAGCGACUAAGCGUACACGGUGGAUGCCUAGGCAAUCAGAGGCGAUGAAGGACGUGCUAAUCUGCGAUAAGCGUCGGUAAGGUGAUAUGAACCGUUAUACCCGACGAUUUCCGAAUGGGGAAACCCAGUGCAAUUCGUUGCACUAUCGUUUGAUGAAUACAUAGUCAAACGAAGCGAACCGGGGGAACUGAAACAUCUCAGUACCCCGAGGAAAAGAAAUCAACCGAGAUUCCCCUAGUAGCGGCGAGCGAACGGGGAGCAGCCCAGAGUCUUAAUCAGCAUUAGUAUCAAGAGAACGGUCUGGAAAGUCCGGCAGUAAAGGGUGAUAGCCCCGUAUCUGAAGAUGCUAGUGUUGUGAACUCGACGAGUAGGGCGGGACACGUGUUAUCCUGUCUGAAUAUGGGGGGACCAUCCUCCAAGGCUAAAUACUCCUGAUUGACCGAUAGUGAACCAGUACCGUGAGGGAAAGGCGAAAAGAACCCCGGCGAGGGGAGUGAAAUAGAACCUGAAACCGUGUACGUACAAGCAGUGGGAGCCUUGAUUUAUCAGGGUGACUGCGUACCUUUUGUAUAAUGGGUCAGCGACUUAUAUUCUGUAGCAAGGUUAACCGUAUAGGGGAGCCGUAGGGAAACCGAGUCUUAACUGGGCGAAUGAGUUGCAGGGUAUAGACCCGAAACCCGGUGAUCUAGCCAUGGGCAGGUUGAAGGUUGGGUAACACUAACUGGAGGACCGAACCGACUAAUGUUGAAAAAUUAGCGGAUGACUUGUGGCUGGGGGUGAAAGGCCAAUCAAACCGGGAGAUAGCUGGUUCUCCCCGAAAGCUAUUUAGGUAGCGCCUCGUGAACUCAUCUUCGGGGGUAGAGCACUGUUUCGACUAGGGGGUCAUCCCGACUUACCAACUCGAUGCAAACUACGAAUACCGAAGAAUGUUAUCACGGGAGACACACGGCGGGUGCUAACGUUCGUCGUGAAGAGGGAAACAACCCAGACCGCCAGCUAAGGUCCCAAAGUCAUAGUUAAGUGGGAAACGAAGUGGGAAGGCUCAGACAGCCAGGAUGUUGGCUUAGAAGCAGCCAUCAUUUAAAGAAAGCGUAAUAGCUCACUGGUCGAGUCGGCCUGCGCGGAAGAUGUAACGGGGCUAAACUAUGCACCGAAGCUGCGGCAGCGAUAUGUAAAUAUUGUUGGGUAGGGGAGCGUUCUGUAAGCCUGUGAAGGUGUACUGUGAGGUAUGCUGGAGGUAUCAGAAGUGCGAAUGCUGACAUAAGUAACGAUAAUGCGGGUGAAAAACCCGCACGCCGGAAGACCAAGGGUUCCUGUCCAACGUUAAUCGGGGCAGGGUGAGUCGACCCCUAAGGCGAGGCAGAAAUGCGUAGUCGAUGGGAAACGGGUUAAUAUUCCCGUACUGGUGAUAAUUGCGAUGGGGGGACGGAGAAGGCUAGGCUGGCCGGGCGACGGUUGUCCCGGUUUAAGGAUGUAGGCAGGUGAAUUAGGCAAAUCCGGUUCACUAUAUGCUGAGGUCUGAUGACGAGUCACUACGGUGGCGAAGUAGCUCAUGCCCCGCUUCCAGGAAAAGCCUCUAAGCUCUAGAUUAUCA
RNAcentral lists this ribosomal RNA (1598 nucleotides) under Providencia rettgeri. RNAcentral's name for it is "partial 23S ribosomal RNA". It matches the Rfam family "Bacterial large subunit ribosomal RNA", at positions 1 to 1637 of the family's 2925-position model. The record is from RNAcentral. Lineage: Bacteria; Pseudomonadati; Pseudomonadota; Gammaproteobacteria; Enterobacterales; Morganellaceae.